UACGUAGGGGGCAAGCGUUGUUCGGAAUGACUGGGCGUAAAGGGUGUGUAGGCGGUUUAUUAAGUUAAAUGUGAAAGCCCGGGGCUUAACUCCGGAACUGCAUUUAAAACUGGUAGACUUGAGUGUGGGAGAGGCAAGUGGAAUUCCUAGUGUAGCGGUGGAAUGCGUAGAUAUUAGGAGGAACAUCAGAGGCGAAGGCGACUUGCUGGAACAUAACUGACGCUGAGGCACGAAAGCGUGGGGAGCAAAC
This 250-nucleotide ribosomal RNA is filed under the name uncultured prokaryote. Its description in RNAcentral is "partial 16S ribosomal RNA". It matches the Rfam family "Bacterial small subunit ribosomal RNA", at positions 524 to 773 of the family's 1533-position model. The record is from RNAcentral.